RNAcentral lists this ribosomal RNA (464 nucleotides) under Eclogavena quadrimaculata theilei. Its description in RNAcentral is "partial 16S large subunit ribosomal RNA". It matches the Rfam family "Bacterial large subunit ribosomal RNA", at positions 1850 to 2577 of the family's 2925-position model. Lineage: Eukaryota; Metazoa; Mollusca; Gastropoda; Littorinimorpha; Cypraeidae. The record is from RNAcentral.
GAGUCGGACCUGCCCGGUGAAUAUAUUUAACGGCCGCGGUACUUUGACCGUGCAAAGGUAGCAUAAUCAUUUGCCCUAUAAUUGAGGGCUAGUAUGAAUGGUUUGACGUGAACAAAGCUGUCUCUAUGCAGUUUUUUAAAAUUUGAUUUCUAGGUGAGGAAACCUAGAUAUUAUUGAAAGACAAGAAGACCCUAUUGAGCUUUAAAAGAAUAAAUUGAGAAUAAUAUAUAAUUUUAGAUGUUAAUCUAUUUUAGGAUUUUGGUUGGGGCGACUAUGGAACAAAUAAAGCUUCUUUACAACUAAUAAAACUGACAAGUAUUGAUCCAGAGAUUCUGAUUAAUGGAAUUAGUUACCAUAGGGAUAACAGCAUAAUUCUCUUUGAGAGCUCUCAUCGAAAAGAGAGUUUGUGACCUCGAUGUUGGACUAGAAUAUCCUAAAGAUGCAGCAGUCUUUAAAGGUUGGUC